Molecule: small RNA, 408 nt
Filed under: Pongo abelii (Sumatran orangutan)
Lineage: Eukaryota; Metazoa; Chordata; Mammalia; Primates; Hominidae
Description: processed transcript
Source: RNAcentral
CAGCCCGCAAUGGCUGCCGCUAUCCGCUGCUUUCUUGGUGUCUGAGCUGUAGAGCGGACCUGUCAAAGAGGGGCUGCUGUUUGGGUCACUUUCCCUCUGGCUGUUUGUGGCGCAGGUACAUGAGUACCUCAAUCUUGUCCUGGAAAGAAUACCACGCACUGGAAGUCUGCGAAGAAGUGAAGACACUAAAGGGGCGCAGUGUUGUGUUUACUUGGUGGCAGUGGAGCGGGUCCAGGGCAGUCCUCCUUCGCCAGUCUGCUCCCAGUUUUCGAGAGGAGUCUAUGCUAUUUUUGGAUUUUAUGACAAGAAGUCUGUAAAUACCAUCACAUCGUUUUGCGGAACACUCCACGUCUCCUUCAUCACUCCCAGCUUCCCAACAGAUGGCACACAUCCAUUUGUCAUUCAGAU